This 1325-nucleotide ribosomal RNA is filed under the name Cellulomonas taurus. Its description in RNAcentral is "bacterial SSU rRNA". It matches the Rfam family "Bacterial small subunit ribosomal RNA", at positions 1 to 1337 of the family's 1533-position model. Lineage: Bacteria; Bacillati; Actinomycetota; Actinomycetes; Micrococcales; Cellulomonadaceae. The record is from RNAcentral.
CCGCUCGAGAGUUUGAUCCUGGCUCAGGACGAACGCUGGCCGGCGUGCUUAACACAUGCAAGUCGAACGGUGAAGCCCAGCUUGCUGGGUGGAUCAGUGGCGAACGGGUGAGUAACACGUGAGUAACCUGCCUCUGACUCUGGGAUAAGCCUUGGAAACGGGGUCUAAUACUGGAUACGAGACGCUCGGGCAUCCGAAGUGUCUGGAAAGAUUUAUCGGUCAGAGAUGGACUCGCGGCCUAUCAGCUUGUUGGUGGGGUAAUGGCCUACCAAGGCGACGACGGGUAGCCGGCCUGAGAGGGCGACCGGCCACACUGGGACUGAGACACGGCCCAGACUCCUACGGGAGGCAGCAGUGGGGAAUAUUGCACAAUGGGCGCAAGCCUGAUGCAGCGACGCCGCGUGAGGGAUGACGGCCUUCGGGUUGUAAACCUCUUUCAGCAGGGAAGAAGCGAAAGUGACGGUACCUGCAGAAGAAGCGCCGGCUAACUACGUGCCAGCAGCCGCGGUAAUACGUAGGGCGCAAGCGUUGUCCGGAAUUAUUGGGCGUAAAGAGCUCGUAGGCGGUUUGUCGCGUCUGGUGUGAAAACUCAAGGCUCAACCUUGAGCUUGCAUCGGGUACGGGCAGACUAGAGUGCGGUAGGGGAGACUGGAAUUCCUGGUGUAGCGGUGGAAUGCGCAGAUAUCAGGAGGAACACCGAUGGCGAAGGCAGGUCUCUGGGCCGCAACUGACGCUGAGGAGCGAAAGCAUGGGGAGCGAACAGGAUUAGAUACCCUGGUAGUCCAUGCCGUAAACGUUGGGCACUAGGUGUGGGGCUCAUUCCACGAGUUCCGUGCCGCAGCAAACGCAUUAAGUGCCCCGCCUGGGGAGUACGGCCGCAAGGCUAAAACUCAAAGAAAUUGACGGGGGCCCGCACAAGCGGCGGAGCAUGCGGAUUAAUUCGAUGCAACGCGAAGAACCUUACCAAGGCUUGACAUACACCGGAAACUUCCAGAGAUGGUUGCCCCGCAAGGUCGGUGUACAGGUGGUGCAUGGUUGUCGUCAGCUCGUGUCGUGAGAUGUUGGGUUAAGUCCCGCAACGAGCGCAACCCUCGUUCUAUGUUGCCAGCGGGUUAUGCCGGGGACUCAUAGGAGACUGCCGGGGUCAACUCGGAGGAAGGUGGGGAUGACGUCAAAUCAUCAUGCCCCUUAUGUCUUGGGCUUCACGCAUGCUACAAUGGCCGGUACAAAGGGCUGCGAUACCGCGAGGUGGAGCGAAUCCCAAAAAGCCGGUCUCAGUUCGGAUUGGGGUCUGCAACUCGACCCCAUGAAGUCGGAGUCUGCUA